CUGUUCGAGCGUCAUUUCACCACUCAAGCCUGGCUUGGUAUUGGGCGCCGCGGUGUUCCGCGCGCCUCAAAGUCUCCGGCUGAGCUGUCCGUCUCCAAGCGUUGUGAUUUCAUUAAUCGCUUCGGGGUGCGGGCGGCCGCGGCCGUUAAAUCUUUCACAAGGUUGACCUCGGAUCAGGUAGGGAUACCCGCUGAACUUAA
This 200-nucleotide unclassified non-coding RNA is filed under the name soil metagenome. Its description in RNAcentral is "partial contains internal transcribed spacer 2 and large subunit ribosomal RNA". The record is from RNAcentral.